Molecule: ribosomal RNA, 693 nt
Filed under: Flavobacterium sp. T37.08.SCU.W.Gill.N
Lineage: Bacteria; Pseudomonadati; Bacteroidota; Flavobacteriia; Flavobacteriales; Flavobacteriaceae
Description: bacterial SSU rRNA
Rfam family: Bacterial small subunit ribosomal RNA
Source: RNAcentral
AGUCGAGGGGUAUAUGUCUUCGGAUAUAGAGACCGGCGCACGGGUGCGUAACGCGUAUGCAAUCUACCUUUUACAGAGGGAUAGCCCAGAGAAAUUUGGAUUAAUACCUCAUAGCAUAGCAGUCUCGCAUGAGAUCACUAUUAAAGUCACAACGGUAAAAGAUGAGCAUGCGUCCCAUUAGCUAGUUGGUAAGGUAACGGCUUACCAAGGCUACGAUGGGUAGGGGUCCUGAGAGGGAGAUCCCCCACACUGGUACUGAGACACGGACCAGACUCCUACGGGAGGCAGCAGUGAGGAAUAUUGGACAAUGGGCGCAAGCCUGAUCCAGCCAUGCCGCGUGCAGGAUGACGGUCCUAUGGAUUGUAAACUGCUUUUGUACGAGAAGAAACACCCCGACGUGUCGGGACUUGACGGUAUCGUAAGAAUAAGGAUCGGCUAACUCCGUGCCAGCAGCCGCGGUAAUACGGAGGAUCCAAGCGUUAUCCGGAAUCAUUGGGUUUAAAGGGUCCGUAGGCGGUUUAGUAAGUCAGUGGUGAAAGCCCAUCGCUCAACGGUGGAACGGCCAUUGAUACUGCUAAACUUGAAUUAUUAGGAAGUAACUAGAAUAUGUAGUGUAGCGGUGAAAUGCUUAGAGAUUACAUGGGAAUACCAAUUGCGAAAGGCAGGUUACUACUAAUGGAUUGACGCUGAUGG